Molecule: ribosomal RNA, 221 nt
Filed under: Pseudoligosita sp. D0775
Lineage: Eukaryota; Metazoa; Arthropoda; Insecta; Hymenoptera; Trichogrammatidae
Description: partial 18S ribosomal RNA
Rfam family: Eukaryotic small subunit ribosomal RNA (bases 120-221)
Source: RNAcentral
UUCAUCGCUCGCGAUGUUUAACUGGCAUGAUUGUGGAACGUCCUACCGGUGGGCUUAGCUCCGGUCAAACGGGGCGGUCCAGUUUUAUCCCGUUUCGGUGCUCUUUAUCGAGUGUCGAGGUGGGCCGGUACGUUUACUUUGAACAAAUUAGAGUGCUCAAAGCAGGCUAUGUUCGCCUGAAUAUAAUUGCAUGGAAUAAUGGAAUAGGACCUCGGUUCUAU